UACGUAGGGGGCGAGCGUUGUCCGGAGUUACUGGGCGUAAAGGGUGCGUAGGCGGCCUAUUAAGUCAGGUGUGAAAAACCUCGGCUCAACCGGGGUAUUGCACUUGAAACUGAUGGGCUUGAGUGCAGGAGAGGGAAGUGGAAUUCCUAGUGUAGCGGUGAAAUGCGUAGAUAUUAGGAGGAACACCAGUGGCGAAGGCGGCUUCCUGGCCUGACACUGACGCUGAGGCACGAAAGCGUGGGGAGCAAAC
Molecule: ribosomal RNA, 250 nt
Filed under: uncultured bacterium
Lineage: Bacteria
Description: partial 16S ribosomal RNA
Rfam family: Bacterial small subunit ribosomal RNA
Source: RNAcentral